GAAAAACGAAGAAAGCCCUUGUAAGGGAGACAUAAAGAGGCUUUGCUAAUUAGAAAUAAUAAGAUUCACCAUUCGAUAUGCCUGGAGUUCCAUUUAAAUGCGACUUGUCAACCCACAUCCUUGUCUUAUUGAUGACACACAGACCUCAGCGUCCCCCACAGCGUUUGGUCGCCAUGCCAUUAGCAUCCUAAAUAGCUACCAAUAUCUAAGAAAUAUUUAUUUGUUUUCCUGAUUUGUUUAGCCAAAUGGUGUCCGUUUCUGAACUACCGAAACAGAAAGCGACCAUCGCCGAAGCUAACGAGACAGCAACGGUCGGCCGGGCGCGUUUAUUAUUUUCUGAUAGCCGAUACGUCCCGUAUCCGCUUCCCCAAGCCCCAAGCCACAUUAAACCCCAUCCACCGCCCCCUCAUCUGUCUCUCGGGUCCGGCGUUGGCUCAUGCCCCGAGAGGAGACACCGCGGGCGAAGGAGGAGGAGGAGGGAUGAACGACCUCUCCGUCACCGCCGCCGGCCGCCGGUGCCAGCUCCCGGUCCCCGCCGCCGUCCCCUGCGUCAUUGUCCCUCUUCUUCUCGCCGCCCUCGCCGUCUCCCUCCUCAUCCUCGUCGUCGUCCACAACGCCCUUCUCCUCGCCGCCGUCCUCCUCCUCUCCGCCCUUGUCGCCUCCUUCCUCCUCUGGAACGCGGCCAGCUUCCGGAACGACCGCGCCGUUCUUGUCUUCCUCGACCGCCUCCCGGCCUCCGACCUCGUCACCGCCAGGGACGGCCAGCUCGUCAAGAUCACCGGGAGGUUUGCUGCAGACUUUUACAUGACAGAUAUAAAGUCUGGUGCCAGAGCUUUGGUGAAGGCUGGUUACAGUUCGAAAGUGUUCCCCCUGGUGGAUGAAAACAUACUCGUUAACACGACAAGUAAAAACAGAGAACUGUCUUCUACCUUGAAAAAAUGGCUGGAAAGAAGACACCUUCCUGCUGAAACUCGUUUAUUACGUCUUAAGGAAGGGUACAUCAAGGAGGGAAGCGCUUUGACUGUGAUGGGAAUGUUGAGUAAAAAGAAUGGAGCCCUCAUGAUCAUUCCACCACCUGAGCCUUUCUCUACAGGUUGCCUAUUGCAAAAAUUUCUUCUUCCUGCUGAUAUUGAUGGCCUAGUUAUGAAGUUCUCCGGCAAGAAUUGUUCCACGACUAACCUAAGCCUUUCGUGAGCCACACUGACUAUCUGAUUUUAUUUGGUGAAAAUGAGCCAUCUGGUUUUUCUACAAAUUUCCUUUUGAACUUAUCCUCCAAUUCUUAUCCAAGAGUAUCAGCAGUAGACCAGAUUAAUUGCUUUUAAUGUUGGAUCAUUACAGCUCAUAAGCAUAAAAGUAUCUUUUCAGGUAUGGCAUUGCUGAAUUGCACAUCUGUGGGCUUGCAUACUUCUGAAUUGCACACAUCUCAAGAGUCAUAAGCAAGCACUGCAAGAUUCCUGUUGUAGAUAAGAAAAGGUUGCUGCAGUGUACAAGUAAUAAUAUCAGAAUAUCUUGACUGAAAUUAUAAACGAUCCGGACAAGUUUGUAAAGAAUUCUGACCAAGCUGCAAUAGACUUUUCUCUUUUUUUAAACAUUGUUUUCCUCUAAUAUGUAGGAUCAGAUUCAAUUAACAGAUUCUAAUUAGAGGAAAUUAACCGGUAAAGGGUGCUGGCUAUGCAAAACAUGCUAUAUUGGUGUGUUUAUGGGCAUAUGGCUUGGCAAUAUCAAACUUAUUCAAGCAGGUGGAAUGCAUCUUGGAUAUUUUUUUGCAGAUCACAUUCCAGAUUUACUCUAAUUCCUUAUUUUAUCCAACAACUUUUAUGUUUACAUAGCUGAAGCAAUACCUCCUAUCCCUUCAGGGAGGUUGAAUUAUAUAUGCUUCUGACAAGCGUUGUGUAGACUUGCUGGUAAGCUCAGCAAUUAUAUAAGUUUACGUAAGGUUAUCUUUGGUAGAAAGAAGCUAAUAUCAUGUAAAUAUAUACUAAAUAGUCUUUCUUUGCUGAAGAUGUCGCUCCAACUUACCGCGAUGAUGCCCUUUUCUUAAUGAAUAUAGUUAUUAUUGUUAUUGGAAUUUCAAAUGAGUUAAUGUUGUCUGAAUUGCUUUGGUCAUGAAAUAUAGUGAGAAGAUAUAGGUUUGGUUGUCUAAAAAGAAGAGGAACCAGGGUUGUGAAAUAUGGUUUCAAAAACAUUCUAGAUUCUUUUGCAUUCAGAUUGGAACUAACUGCUAAAUAGCCACAAAAGCUAAACUAUUGUAAGAAGUGUUGUUUAUAAUAUUUGUGUUCUUUUUUUAAAAAAAAAAAAACGUACCAUGUUGACAUCUGCUUCAUGGUACUGUGUUCUCCGUCGACUUGUGAAAGAGAGGUCACUUGGGCAAACAGUGCUGUUUUUCGUUUUCUUUCUUUUUUUGUUUGUUUGUGUGUAACGGACAGAAAAGUUAGGAGUGCUGAAGUAUCAAUAAUGUCAAUUAUUUCAUUACACCA
Phoenix dactylifera (date palm) is the source of this 2477-nucleotide non-coding RNA. Lineage: Eukaryota; Viridiplantae; Streptophyta; Magnoliopsida; Arecales; Arecaceae. The record is from RefSeq and is a predicted model, not a curated record.